GUUGGUGAACCAGCGGAGGGAUCAUUAAAGAGUUGCAAAACUCCCUUAAACCAUCGUGAACCAUACCUCUGAACAGUUGCUUCGGCGGGCCGGCCCUCCCCCGGGAGGCGCCGCCCAAGGCCCGCCGGAGGUACCCAAACCAUUGUCUUUACAGGCCUCUCUGAGUGACACACUUAAUAAGUCAAAACUUUCAACAACGGAUCUCUUGGUUCUGGCAUCGAUGAAGAACGCAGCAUCUGACUGACUCGAC
RNAcentral lists this unclassified non-coding RNA (250 nucleotides) under plant metagenome. RNAcentral describes it as "partial contains small subunit ribosomal RNA, internal transcribed spacer 1, and 5.8S ribosomal RNA". The record is from RNAcentral.